AGGUGAAUAGUUUAAUUGGGAGAAUGCAGUGGUCUAUGUUGAAUCUGCGGUGGUAGAUCGAAACUACCUUCGCCUA
Non-coding RNA from Naegleria gruberi, 76 nucleotides. NCBI's taxonomy places the organism in Eukaryota, Heterolobosea, Eutetramitea, Acrasida, Naegleriidae. The record is from the annotation of a RefSeq genome assembly.